Molecule: ribosomal RNA, 256 nt
Filed under: uncultured Anoxybacillus sp.
Lineage: Bacteria; Bacillati; Bacillota; Bacilli; Caryophanales; Anoxybacillaceae
Description: partial 16S ribosomal RNA
Rfam family: Bacterial small subunit ribosomal RNA
Source: RNAcentral
UUGGGCACUCUAAGGUGACUGCCGGCUAAAAGUCGGAGGAAGGUGGGGAUGACGUCAAAUCAUCAUGCCCCUUAUGACCUGGGCUACACACGUGCUACAAUGGGCGGUACAAAGGGUCGCGAACCCGCGAGGGGGGAGCCAAUCCCAAAAAAGCCGCUCUCAGUUCGGAUUGCAGGCUGCAACUCGCCUGCAUGAAGCCGGAAUCGCUAGUAAUCGCGGAUCAGCAUGCCGCGGUGAAUACGGUUCCCGGGUCCUU